AUUGAACGCUGGCGGCAGGCCUAACACAUGCAAGUCGAGCGGAUGAAGGGAGCUUGCUCCUGGCUUCAGCGGCGGACGGGUGAGUAAUGCCUAGGAUUCUGCCUGGUAGUGGGGGAUAACGUCCGGAAACGGGCGCUAAUACCGCAUACGUCCUGAGGGAGAAAGUGGGGGAUCUUCGGACCUCACGCUAUCAGAUGAGCCUAGGUCGGAUUAGCUAGUUGGUGGGGUAAAGGCCUACCAAGGCGACGAUCCGUAACUGGUCUGAGAGGAUGAUCAGUCACACUGGAACUGAGACACGGUCCAGACUCCUACGGGAGGCAGCAGUGGGGAAUAUUGGACAAUGGGCGAAAGCCUGAUCCAGCCAUGCCGCGUGUGUGAAGAAGGUCUUCGGAUUGUAAAGCACUUUAAGUUGGGAGGAAGGGCAGUAAGUUAAUACCUUGCUGUUUUGACGUUACCAACAGAAUAAGCACCGGCUAACUUCGUG
RNAcentral lists this ribosomal RNA (484 nucleotides) under uncultured bacterium. RNAcentral describes it as "partial 16S ribosomal RNA". It matches the Rfam family "Bacterial small subunit ribosomal RNA", at positions 30 to 507 of the family's 1533-position model. The record is from RNAcentral.